RNAcentral lists this ribosomal RNA (267 nucleotides) under uncultured Eubacteriales bacterium. RNAcentral describes it as "uncultured Clostridiales bacterium partial 16S ribosomal RNA". It matches the Rfam family "Bacterial small subunit ribosomal RNA", at positions 74 to 339 of the family's 1533-position model. Lineage: Bacteria; Bacillati; Bacillota; Clostridia; Eubacteriales. The record is from RNAcentral.
AAGAGCUUGCUCUUCAAAUCGAGUGGCGAACGGGUGAGUAACGCGUGAGGAACCUGCCUCAAAGAGGGGGACAACAGUUGGAAACGACUGCUAAUACCGCAUGACGCAUGACCGGGGCAUCCCGGGCAUGUCAAAGAUUUUAUCGCUGGAAGAUGGCCUCGCGUCUGAUUAGCUAGAUGGUGGGGUAACGGCCCACCAUGGCGACGAUCAGUAGCCGGACUGAGAGGUUGAACGGCCACAUUGGGACUGAGACACGGCCCAAACUCC